Molecule: ribosomal RNA, 2748 nt
Filed under: Salmonella sp. zj-f75
Lineage: Bacteria; Pseudomonadati; Pseudomonadota; Gammaproteobacteria; Enterobacterales; Enterobacteriaceae
Description: partial 23S ribosomal RNA
Rfam family: Bacterial large subunit ribosomal RNA
Source: RNAcentral
UCGUCACACUAUCAUUAACUGAAUCCAUAGGUUAAUGAGGCGAACCGGGGGAACUGAAACAUCUAAGUACCCCGAGGAAAAGAAAUCAACCGAGAUUCCCCCAGUAGCGGCGAGCGAACGGGGAGGAGCCCAGAGCCUGAAUCAGCAUGUGUGUUAGUGGAAGCGUCUGGAAAGGCGCGCGAUACAGGGUGACAGCCCCGUACACAAAAGCGCAUGUGCUGUGAGCUCGAUGAGUAGGGCGGGACACGUGGUAUCCUGUCUGAAUAUGGGGGGACCAUCCUCCAAGGCUAAAUACUCCUGACUGACCGAUAGUGAACCAGUACCGUGAGGGAAAGGCGAAAAGAACCCCGGCGAGGGGAGUGAAAAAGAACCUGAAACCGUGUACGUACAAGCAGUGGGAGCNNGUGACUGCGUACCUUUUGUAUAAUGGGUCAGCGACUUAUAUUCUGUAGCAAGGUUAACCGAAUAGGGGAGCCGGAGGGAAACCGAGUCUUAAUUGGGCGUUAAGUUGCAGGGUAUAGACCCGAAACCCGGUGAUCUAGCCAUGGGCAGGUUGAAGGUUGGGUAACACUAACUGGAGGACCGAACCGACUAAUGUUGAAAAAUUAGCGGAUGACCUGUGGCUGGGGGUGAAAGGCCAAUCAAACCGGGAGAUAGCUGGUUCUCCCCGAAAGCUAUUUAGGUAGCGCCUCGUGAAUUCAUCUCCGGGGGUAGAGCACUGUUUCGGCUAGGGGGCCAUCCCGGCUUACCAACCCGAUGCAAACUGCGAAUACCGGAGAAUGUUAUCACGGGAGACACACGGCGGGUGCUAACGUCCGUCGUGAAGAGGGAAACAACCCAGACCGCCAGCUAAGGUCCCAAAGUCAUGGUUAAGUGGGAAACGAUGUGGGAAGGCCCAGACAGCCAGGAUGUUGGCUUAGAAGCAGCCAUCAUUUAAAGAAAGCGUAAUAGCUCACUGGUCGAGUCGGCCUGCGCGGAAGAUGUAACGGGGCUAAACCAUGCACCGAAGCUGCGGCAGCGANNNNNNNNNNNNNNNNNNNNNNNNNNNNNNNNNNNNNNNNNNNNNNNNNNNNUGCUGGAGGUAUCAGAAGUGCGAAUGCUGACAUAAGUAACGAUAAAGCGGGUGAAAAGCCCGCUCGCCGGAAGACCAAGGGUUCCUGUCCAACGUUAAUCGGGGCAGGGUGAGUCGACCCCUAAGGCGAGGCCGAAAGGCGUAGUCGAUGGGAAACGGGUUAAUAUUCCCGUACUUGGUGUUACUGCGAAGGGGGGACGGAGAAGGCUAUGUUGGCCGGGCGACGGUUGUCCCGGUUUAAGCGUGUAGGCUGGUUUUCCAGGCAAAUCCGGAAAAUCAAGGCUGAGGCGUGAUGACGAGGCACUACGGUGCUGAAGCAACAAAUGCCCUGCUUCCAGGAAAAGCCUCUAAGCAUCAGGUAACAUCAAAUCGUACCCCAAACCGACACAGGUGGUCAGGUAGAGAAUACCAAGGCGCUUGAGAGAACUCGGGUGAAGGAACUAGGCAAAAUGGUGCCGUAACUUCGGGAGAAGGCACGCUGACACGUAGGUGAAGUGAUUUACUCAUGGAGCUGAAGUCAGUCGAAGAUACCAGCUGGCUGCAACUGUUUAUUAAAAACACAGCACUGUGCAAACACGAAAGUGGACGUAUACGGUGUGACGCCUGCCCGGUGCCGGAAGGUUAAUUGAUGGGGUCAGCGCAAGCGAAGCUCCUGAUCGAAGCCCCGGUAAACGGCGGCCGUAACUAUAACGGUCCUAAGGUAGCGAAAUUCCUUGUCGGGUAAGUUCCGACCUGCACGAAUGGCGUAAUGAUGGCCAGGCUGUCUCCACCCGAGACUCAGUGAAAUUGAACUCGCUGUGAAGAUGCAGUGUACCCGCGGCAAGACGGAAAGACCCCGUGAACCUUUACUAUAGCUUGACACUGAACAUUGAGCCUUGAUGUGUAGGAUAGGUGGGAGGCUUUGAAGUGUGGACGCCAGUCUGCAUGGAGCCGACCUUGAAAUACCACCCUUUAAUGUUUGAUGUUCUAACGUGGACCCGUAAUCCGGGUUGCGGACAGUGUCUGGUGGGUAGUUUGACUGGGGCGGUCUCCUCCUAAAGAGUAACGGAGGAGCACGAAGGUUGGCUAAUCCUGGUCGGACAUCAGGAGGUUAGUGCAAUGGCAUAAGCCAGCUUGACUGCGAGCGUGACGGCGCGAGCAGGUGCGAAAGCAGGUCAUAGUGAUCCGGUGGUUCUGAAUGGAAGGGCCAUCGCUCAACGGAUAAAAGGUACUCCGGGGAUAACAGGCUGAUACCGCCCAAGAGUUCAUAUCGACGGCGGUGUUUGGCACCUCGAUGUCGGCUCAUCACAUCCUGGGGCUGAAGUAGGUCCCAAGGGUAUGGCUGUUCGCCAUUUAAAGUGGUACGCGAGCUGGGUUUAGAACGUCGUGAGACAGUUCGGUCCCUAUCUGCCGUGGGCGCUGGAGAACUGAGGGGGGCUGCUCCUAGUACGAGAGGACCGGAGUGGACGCAUCACUGGUGUUCGGGUUGUCAUGCCAAUGGCACUGCCCGGUAGCUAAAUGCGGAAGAGAUAAGUGCUGAAAGCAUCUAAGCACGAAACUUGCCCCGAGAUGAGUUCUCCCUGAGACUUAGAGUCUCCUGAAGGAACGUUGAAGACGACGACGUUGAUAGGCCGGGUGUGUAAGCGCAGCGAUGCGUUGAGCUAACCGGUACUAAUGAACCGUGAGGCUUAACCUUA